Long non-coding RNA from Homo sapiens (human), 1862 nucleotides. Lineage: Eukaryota; Metazoa; Chordata; Mammalia; Primates; Hominidae. The record is from Ensembl.
AGAACAUGUCCUCCUCUUCUAAAUUACAUGCCGUGGAGACACAAAGGAUUGCCAGGUACCAGCUUGACCACAAUAGGUCGGAACACCAAGUAGGCUCUUGGGGUCCUGAAUUCAAGGCCUUGGCUCUUGGGUGGCAUUUCUGAGCAUUUCUGAACCUGCCCUGGGACAGAGAGGAGUCCACUGCACUGAAGGAUAUGCUCUUUAGGAUCAAAAGGAAGACCCUGAAGAAAAGCUGAGGAUAGUGGCUAAACCCAAAACAAGAGAUUAAAGGAGAAUAGAGGCAGAAAAGUCACCCAUACCCACUCCUUGGGGAGAAGAGAUGAAACCCUCCUUGAUGAGAAGAGAAGCUAUGACCUUAGAAGUAUUAUAGGCCAUAAAAUCAAAGAACUGGCCAUUAGAGGUUCCCAGAGAGAGGACUGGAGUCCGCUUUAGGAACUGUUGAGCAUCUUCUCCACCCAACCAGGACAAGAAAGUCUAGUGGAAGCCCACCAAGAUUUGCAGUUCAUCUCUUACCCAUCCAAUGUUGAAGAAUCUCAGAGCCCCGUUACUCUUUCUUGUAGUUUGCCAACUGAAGCCACUCCUGUACACUUAAAUUACCCAACAAAAGGAGAACUUGCUUUUCCUCCAAUAUUCUGCUUAUCUCCAUUCAAGUACCUCACCUGAACUACCCACAUCUUUUUAGUGACUAUGCUUACUCUGGUUCAGGAUGAAAGAUGGGAGAAUGAGAUGAACUGUCCCUUUAGUAGUCUAAAUGAGGAUGAAGGGAAGACCAGCACUGUCCCUUGGCUAGAACAGUGGCAAAACCCAUUCAUAUUUCAAAUGUGUCUGUAAGAUUUUCUCAUUCAUUACUCAGGCCUGACCUCAAAAACUAUGUCUAUAGUAAAGUAAAAAAUUGCCCAUGCACUGCUCUUUCCUAGUCUUGUGAGACAAAAUUAUAUGUGCUUAUGUGAAAGAUAUUAGAUAAAGACAGAGGUAGAAAGAUAAAGAAAAUAUGUAUAUUUUAAAAUAAAUGUUCAUAAUUAUGGUAUAUUUAAGCAAAUUGCUAAUUAAUACACAGUAGAUGUGACCUCAGUUAAAUCUCUUAACUAAAAUGAGACUGCUUCCUUAUUUUAUAAUUGUUGAGGUUGUGAGGUUUGCGGGACAAGACGUAAUAAGCUGCAAGAUCCUUUACUGUUUAAAAUUCUCCAUCUAUGAUUCAGAAGGACAGCUUUUAUGGAAUCUUAUGAAAUUUUAAAUAAGAUUUUCAUCAUUUCAAUGUGAGAAACCAAAAUUUACAUAACUGCUUUUUUUUAAAAAAAUCUUACAAAGUAUAAAACUUGAGUAGCAGUUUGAAAAUACAUAAAACAAUAAAAGCCCUUUUGUCUUUUAAUAACUUUAUAUAAAAACAUUGCUUGUAGGAACAACACAUUGCAAUAUUGGUGAUUAUAGCUGCUUUAACUGAAGGGUAUGAAGCAUGUCCUGUGCAAUAGUUCUUGUUUUAGUAAAAAAAAAAUUAAAGUGGAAUAUGUAGUCUGCCCAUAUGUCCUGAGCUGUUCAUUUCCUGUUACUUUGCUGGAGGCAGAAGCCAAAGACUCAGUUUUCCUGCCUUUGUCAUACAUCUGCUGGUUAUUGCUAUUUAAGCUGACUUGGUUCUUGAUGACCACAAGGUGACUUACGAUAGCUGUUUUUCCAAAACGCAAUAGCAGUACCAUGUGUUUUUAAAUGCAUUCAAUGUUGUUUGGAGACUUUUCAAAUAACUUGGGAGCAAUCAAAUGUAGACUGCACACAUGUUGCUGUAAGUUAAUGUAAAUUUCUUUUUGAGAAAAAGGACAUAGUUGGCCACAAUCUAUAAAUUUCUUUGAUUUAAUAUUUUUAUUAAAGUU